This 1413-nucleotide long non-coding RNA is filed under the name Homo sapiens (human). RNAcentral describes it as "HSALNT0281034". Lineage: Eukaryota; Metazoa; Chordata; Mammalia; Primates; Hominidae. The record is from RNAcentral.
CAGCUAGAAAAAGCAGGCAGAAGAAGGUGGAAGAGCUAACUUGCUGAGUCUUCCGGCAUUCGUCUUUCUUCCCUGCUGGAUGCUUCCUACCCGCGAACAUCAGACUCCAAGUUCUUCGGCCUUUGGACUCUCUUUUUUUGUUUUUUAAGAGACGGAGUCUAGCUCUGUCGCCCAAGCUGGAGUGCAGUGGCGUAAUCUCGGCUCACUGCACCUUCCGCCUCCUGGGUUAAAGCGAUUCUCCUGCCUCAGCCUCCCUAGUAGCUGGGACUACAGGCGCGCGCCGUCACGCCCGGCUAAUUUUUUGUAUUUUAGUAGAGACGGGGUUUCACCGUGUUGUCCAGCCUGGUCUCAAACUCCUGAGCUCAGGCAAUCCACCUGCCUCGGCCUCCUAAAAUGCUAGGAUAACAGGCGUGCGCCUCCGCGCCCGGCCUGCCUUUGGACUCUUGAACUUAGACCAGUUGUUUGCUGGGGCUCUUGGGCCUUUGGCCACAGACUGAAGGCUGCACUGUUGGCUUCCCUACUUUUGAGGUUUUGGGACUUGGACUGAACCAGUACUGGCUUCGUUGCUCCUCAACUUGCAGAUGGACUCUCAUGGGACUUCAUCUUGUGAUCGUGAAGGGGGCAUGAUCGAAUCUUCUGCUUUCCUUUUGAGCAUUUUCUCUGUGAGCCAAACUGACUGUUAUCCCUGCCACCAGGUAUAUUAAUGCUGUAAGGAAUUGUGCAGGAGGUCAAAAACCUGGAGGAUGCCUUACUUGGCCUGAUGUCAAGCCCUGAAAACAGCUGGCUGUCUGGUUGGAUCAGUCCCCCGUGGCAAACUCAGGACUCUGCGUUCCCAGUACUGGCUCACAGAAUCUGGUUGAAUCACCAAAAUGUGAAGACAAGCCUUCAGUUCCCUUCUUGACCACCAGCAUGGAACUAAACAAUUAAACCUGUCAGAAAAAAAAAAGCUGCUGUAUUUUAAGGUAACAGAGACAUGGACUUUUUAAGGUAACAGAGACAUGGACUUGAGAAGACAACUUGGCUCAAUUCCUAGCUCUGCAACUUACUUACUAGGUUUGUGUCUUUGGACUGCAUCCUAACAAACAACUGUGUCAAGACAUUUGAACAGCAUAUUCUACACAAAUAAAAAGGAAAUGAUAAAGAUAAAAGAAAUUAAUAGAAUGGAAAGUGAUGGAGAUAAACAAGUGAAAAGAUGGUCCUUUGAAAAGACUAAAACAUGGCCAAUGCACUGGCAAGAAUGAUUGGGACAAUAAACAAAAUAUAUAUGCCAGGGCAGCUCCCGGCGAGAUCGACGCAAAAGGAGGGAGACACUACCUCUCUUUUCCAAAGCUAUCCCUUAUAUAAACAUCCUUGAAAAAGCACUCCGGAACAAAGGCAGUGAGUGCUUCCAUUCUAGCAAAGACUUGGAACCAA